CGGACCAGGGGAGACACCCCUCGCUGCAGACUGUAGCGCGGUGACAUCACGUACUGACGUCAGGUAUGUUCUACGUAUCGUAUGUCUUUAAUGCGCAUGUACAAAAUAUUUCACUUUAAUCAGUAGGUGGCGGUAAUGCGCCUAAAAGUUUAAUGCCAACCUUAAUAAUACAGCGAAGAAGUUGUUUUUCUCGUCUGCAAUUCAGGAUUAGCGUUUUCUCGAAAGGGAUAAAUUCGAUUGCGAUGCAUGUUUAUGGAUACUGGAAGGCGUUACUUACAGAAAACAGUCACCAAGUACAGUCCAGCUAAGCCAGGAAACCGGACCAGAGAAUGAAUUGAUGCCAUGUGUUUGAACCACAGUGCUCAGGAGGAAGGCUUCCUUACUUGAGGACUGCUUCAGGAUGUAGAAGGAACAAUGUCACCUGAGAUCCUGUGGCAGAUCAUGAUGGGAGUAGUCAAGGUUGAUGGCGAUGUGGCUGUCUUGAGGCUUGCAUUCAAAUGCUAGAUGUUUAGGGACAUUGUCAGUUAGCCCAAAUUUAAAGAACAGGCUCACUUUUUGUGGCUUGACAGUCAUGAGAACUGGAUUGUGUUCUACAGACAACAGUUUUUGAUGCCCUACUGUCUGACUCAAUGCUUCCACUGUGGAGAAAUCUUCAAAGACUGUCCACCUGGCAAUGUUGGGAAAAAAAUAUUUACACAAGUUACAUAAUAAUAUACAAGCAUAUAUUUGACAUGACUUUAAUUCUCCUAUUCAUUAAAACUUGUAAGUAUACAAGUACUGUAUAGGUUUUUUCUUUAUUUCACUUGAUAGUACUUGAUGCUAGUAUCGCAUCCCUAAGUUGAUGUUUCGAAUUAAAGUGCAGUUCACCUCACAGAUCUUUCAUAUUA
Paramisgurnus dabryanus is the source of this 887-nucleotide long non-coding RNA. RefSeq lists it as uncharacterized. NCBI's taxonomy places the organism in Eukaryota, Metazoa, Chordata, Actinopteri, Cypriniformes, Cobitidae. The record is from RefSeq and is a predicted model, not a curated record.